RNAcentral lists this ribosomal RNA (479 nucleotides) under uncultured bacterium. RNAcentral describes it as "partial 16S ribosomal RNA". It matches the Rfam family "Bacterial small subunit ribosomal RNA", at positions 28 to 507 of the family's 1533-position model. The record is from RNAcentral.
GAUGAACGCUAGCGGGAGGCCUAACACAUGCAAGCCGAGCGGUAGAGAUUCUUCGGAAUCUUGAGAGCGGCGUACGGGUGCGGAACACGUGUGCAACCUGCCUUUAUCAGGGGGAUAGCCUUUCGAAAGGAAGAUUAAUACCCCAUAAUAUAUUUGAUGGCAUCAUUAGUUAUUGAAAGCUUUGGCGGAUAGAGAUGGGCACGCGCAAGAUUAGAUAGUUGGUGAGGUAACGGCUCACCAAGUCGAUGAUCUUUAGGGGGCCUGAGAGGGUGAUCCCCCACACUGGUACUGAGACACGGACCAGACUCCUACGGGAGGCAGCAGUGAGGAAUAUUGGACAAUGGGUUAGCGCCUGAUCCAGCCAUCCCGCGUGAAGGACGACGGCCCUAUGGGUUGUAAACUUCUUUUGUACAGGGAUAAACCUACUCUCGUGAGAGUAGCUGAAGGUACUGUACGAAUAAGCACCGGCUAACUCCGUG